Molecule: ribosomal RNA, 253 nt
Filed under: uncultured bacterium
Lineage: Bacteria
Description: partial 16S ribosomal RNA
Rfam family: Bacterial small subunit ribosomal RNA
Source: RNAcentral
GACGGAGGAUGCAAGCGUUAUCCGGAAUGAUUGGGCGUAAAGCGUCCGCAGGUGGCAGUUCAAGUCUGCUGUCAAAGACCGGGGCUUAACUUCGGAAAGGCAGUGGAAACUGAACAGCUAGAGUAUGGUAGGGGCAGAGGGAAUUCCUGGUGUAGCGGUGAAAUGCGUAGAGAUCAGGAAGAAUAUCGGUGGCGAAGGCAGCUCUCUGGGACGGUACUGACGCUGAGACGCGAAAGCGUGGGGAGCGAACAGG